Molecule: long non-coding RNA, 718 nt
Filed under: Pan troglodytes (chimpanzee)
Lineage: Eukaryota; Metazoa; Chordata; Mammalia; Primates; Hominidae
Description: long non-coding RNA NONPTRT017568
Source: RNAcentral
CGGCAGCAGUCAGAAAUGUCUGCUGGAGAAGACACUGCAAAGUGUCAGUGAGGGCGUUUGAGAAUUAAUUUUACCCUAGAGUAGCUGCGCAGGUCUGUUUAGCACUCACCUCUACAGUUUUGAACAUUCGAUAACACCGGAAUCAGUCUGAUGCCUUGAACACUUCACAUGAAGGGUUUUUCAAAAUCUAGCCACAAACAGAUAUGACCAGAUUUCAAAAAAUUUUGAGAAACUAGGAGGAAUCUAUUUUGACAAAGCCAAGCCACACAUAGGAUAGAGUCCCCAUGGAGAACAUGGCCAUCCCUGUGCGAACCUUGCUGGAAUCAGUCCACCCAAGUCUACUACAGCCCUCUGCUAAUCAAAGGAGAGGAGGCAGACAUGCGUGCCCUGGAGAGAAGAAAGUAGAAGGAUCAACUAAAAGAGCUCUCCCACUAAAUGGCUGUGGGCUCCUCUAAGAAACUGAAACAUGGAAGAAGGAAGGACCAGCCAGCCAGAACAGCAGUGGGUAUCAAGGAAUGAUAUAAAAGCAAGCUCAAGACAGUCAAGAUUCAAGGAGCUAUAUACCUUGCUUCCUUUCCAGAGCUGAAAUUUGAGUCAAGAGUCCAUUUCUUCCAACUGGCCAGAGGAUCUCCAGGAUACUCUCAUGUAUGUCAAUAAUAACUUUUCUUUUAUAAUUUUGUCUUUCUCAAUAUUUAACUCACAGUUCAAUGCAUUUCCA